UGGGGCAGACUUUAUUCAAAUCAGUGAAGUCGAUGCACAUACAUCAUUUUUCGUUCAUCUUCUUGACUAGCACCAUGUUAGCGAGCCAGUCAAGAUACAUUGCUUCUCAGAUGAAGCCGACCUUGACCAGCUUGUCCACCUCCUCAGCAAUUACUUUCUGAUGCUUUGGGGCAAAGCUUCUCUUCUUCUAUUUUAUAGGGUGGAAGGUCGGAUCCACUUCCAAGUGAUGAGUCAUCAUUUUUGGAUCUAUGCC
Molecule: long non-coding RNA, 253 nt
Filed under: Elaeis guineensis (African oil palm)
Lineage: Eukaryota; Viridiplantae; Streptophyta; Magnoliopsida; Arecales; Arecaceae
Description: long non-coding RNA (EGUI_LNC000142)
Source: RNAcentral